RNAcentral lists this transfer RNA (77 nucleotides) under Schnuerera ultunensis. RNAcentral describes it as "tRNA-Ile". It matches the Rfam family "tRNA". From Rfam's summary of the family: Transfer RNA (tRNA) molecules are approximately 80 nucleotides in length. Their secondary structure includes four short double-helical elements and three loops (D, anti-codon, and T loops). RNAcentral also lists the same sequence under 17 other names. The record is from RNAcentral. Lineage: Bacteria; Bacillati; Bacillota; Tissierellia; Tissierellales; Tepidimicrobiaceae.
GGGCUUGUAGCUCAGGUGGUUAGAGCGCACGCCUGAUAAGCGUGAGGUCGGUGGUUCGAGUCCACCCAGGCCCACCA